CUCCCAGUGACAGCAGCCUUCUCCCUCCCGCCUUUGGUGAGUGGGGCUGUAACCCCAGGGGGAGGAGGCUGGGUUCUGUCUGAAUUCCGUCUCUGGUCCUUUCUUGGCUCCUUUCCCGCCUCACUGUCUCCUUAGGAAAAUGGGUUCUGGUUUCCCAGUAGGGGCUUCAGAUCUUAGCAUCCACCUUGUACUUGAAAACCUAGUUAUCAAAAGAUCAUUGUGCCCACAGCUCUCCUCUCAGGCAUUGCUGUUUCCAUUCUUCACUGGCCCCCAGAGGCUCGGCUUAAUUGGCUGCCUCCGAAGCAUGCGAUUGAACUUGAGCAGUGGUUGGGAUGCCCGGGCCCGCCCCUCCCCACGCAGCACCUGUGACCUUAUAUUCAGAUGGCGGUGAGCUCCCAUGUACACUGUCACCUUGCACUUGAUGGGCAUCAGGGACCAGGAAGUGAAAAGGCAGAGAAGCUAGAUCUGGCUGCCAAGGGCUCUGAGUCCUGAAUGGCAGGAAAAUAAGCAGUGAUGCUGCUGGACCCGAUGCCACUGGCCCCACCACCUGCCCACCAGCACCUGGUUAAUACAUCGAGCCAAGCCCUCUUAUAGACCGGACUGUACCGCGGGUGCUCAGUGAUCCUGUUGAAGGGCUGAGACCAGAGGGAUGGGUGGGUCUAUGCAUGCUUAUAGCAGAGUCUCGCGGCGUCUGGGACUUGCCCUUUGCUCCCUCGGGCUGUGCUUGCUGCCUUUACCUGCGCUGGGCCUGGCAGAGCUCGGAGUCUUCCGGAUUCCAGGGUCUGCGGUAGCCAGUCUGUCAACUGCUGGAGUAAGCUGCUUUCCCAAAAUAGCCAUCCAGAGGGAAGGAGCAGCCCUGGAAUUCGACCCUGGUGAUCACCGUGAUGGCCUUGCCCAGGCUCCUGGUCCCACCUGGCCCCACCUCCCUGACCAUCUCCAAGGAGCUAUUGGUGGAUGUGGGGGCCAGGGUUUUUCCUCUCUCUCUCUCUCCUUCCUUCCUCUUCCCUUUUGUUCUUUCUUUCCACCAGCUUUAGGUUUACAAUCCAAGUGACUCAGGAGAGAUGUUCCAGUGCCUGACUGGCUGGGGAGGGGCAGGUCACGGUGGGAGCAGGGAGGGGAGGGGCCCUGUGUGCCAGCACCUCUCUGCAGGUGACUGCACAUCCAUGGAGGGGCCGAGGCGCUGGCUGUGAGUCGAGCCACUGGCAGCAGUGCCAGACCUGGAGGUGGCAGCAGGCUUGACAGGUCCGACAGGUGGAGCCAGCCCUGCGGCUGCGAGGCCACAGUUGAAGGUCUCAUCCCGGGUCCUCCCUCAGCCCACAAAGCAGUCCUCUGACCAGAAGAUUGUCCCUGAGGUCCAGGCCUCCUCUGUCUAACUGGGAAGAUUGUCUCUGUAUCCGAGGAUCCUGGACUCAGGAGGAAGAGGGACCCCCUCCUGGCCACCAGAACUGCCAGACCAGCCCUGGUGCCCGGGGGUCAGCCUCCACAGGCUGACCCUUC
RNAcentral lists this long non-coding RNA (1497 nucleotides) under Equus asinus (donkey). RNAcentral's name for it is "lncRNA (ENSEASG00005031789.1)". The record is from RNAcentral. Lineage: Eukaryota; Metazoa; Chordata; Mammalia; Perissodactyla; Equidae.